RNAcentral lists this ribosomal RNA (359 nucleotides) under uncultured bacterium. Its description in RNAcentral is "partial 16S ribosomal RNA". It matches the Rfam family "Bacterial small subunit ribosomal RNA", at positions 338 to 694 of the family's 1533-position model. The record is from RNAcentral.
CCUACGGGUGGCAGCAGUGAGGAAUAUUGGUCAAUGGCCGUAAGGCUGAACCAGCCAAGUCGCGUGAAGGAAGAAGGAUCUAUGGUUUGUAAACUUCUUUUAUAGGGGAAUAAAGGUAUCCACGUGUGGAUAUUUGCAUGUACCCUAUGAAUAAGCAUCGGCUAACUCCGUGCCAGCCGCCGCGGUAAUACGGAGGAUGCGAGCGUUAUCCGGAUUUAUUGGGGUUAAAGGGGGCGGAUGUUGGUUUGUAAGGUAGCGGUGAAAGUUUGUGGGUCAAACAUAAACUUGCCGUUGAAACUGGACGACUUGAGGGUGUUUGAGGUAGGGGGAAUGCGUGGGGUAGCGGUGAAAUGCAUAGA